AGACGUAGGGGGCGAGCGUUGUCCGGAAUUACUGGGCGUAAAGAGCACGUAGGCGGAUAUUUAAGUCAGGUGUGAAAGACCGCAGCUCAACUGCGGGGUUGCACCUGAAACUGGGUAUCUUGAGGGCAGGAGAGGGAAGUGGAAUUCCUGGUGUAGCGGUGAAAUGCGUAGAAAUCAGGAGGAACACCAGUGGCGAAGGCGACUUUCUGGACGGCAACUGACGCUGAGACGCGAAAGCGUGGGGAGC
Molecule: ribosomal RNA, 247 nt
Filed under: uncultured bacterium
Lineage: Bacteria
Description: partial 16S ribosomal RNA
Rfam family: Bacterial small subunit ribosomal RNA
Source: RNAcentral